CGUAGGUGCGAGCGUUGUCCGGAAUUACUGGGCGUAAAGAGCUCGUAGGUGGUUUGUCGCGUUGUUCGUGAAACUCACAGCUUAACUGUGGGCGUGCGGGCGAUACGGGCAGACUGGAGUACUGCAGGGGAGACUGGAAUUCCUGGUGUAGCGGUGGAAUGCGCAGAUAUCAGGAGGAACACCGGUGGCGAAGGCGGGUCUCUGGGCAGUAACUGACGCUGAGGAGCGAAAGCGUGGGAGCGAACAGGAUU
This 251-nucleotide ribosomal RNA is filed under the name uncultured bacterium. RNAcentral's name for it is "partial 16S ribosomal RNA". It matches the Rfam family "Bacterial small subunit ribosomal RNA", at positions 526 to 779 of the family's 1533-position model. The record is from RNAcentral.